Pangasianodon hypophthalmus (striped catfish) is the source of this 2305-nucleotide long non-coding RNA. RefSeq lists it as uncharacterized. The record is from RefSeq and is a predicted model, not a curated record. The transcript is spliced from 3 exons. NCBI's taxonomy places the organism in Eukaryota, Metazoa, Chordata, Actinopteri, Siluriformes, Pangasiidae.
CAACAAGUCGCGCGCGGCCAAUGUGAAAUACCGCAAAUAAUAAGGGAUAACACGACAAAGGUUAACGUGACUUUCCGAUUUAAACUCCACGCACUUCAGGAAAUCACCAAAAAUCCGGAGAAAAUGAACGGGACGCAGGCUUUCCACUAGAUUUUGGAGCAUGGCUGUGGGGACUUGUGUUCAUUCAGCCGCAGGAGCAUCAGUGAGGUCUGCACUGAUGUUGGUCGCGGAGGUCUGGAGUGCAGUCGGUGUUCCAGAUCAUCCUAAAAGUGUUCAGGUCAGGGGCUGCAUGCAGGACACUCGAGUUCUUCCACUCCAACCUUGGCAAUCCAUGUUUUCAUGGACCUCCCUUUGUGCACAGGGGCGUUGUUAUGCUGGAACAGGUUUGGGUCUCUUUAUUCCAGUGAAGGGAAAUUUUAAUGCAACAGCAUACAAAGACAUUCUAUAUAACUGUGUGAUUCUAACUUUAUGGCAACAGUUUAAGGAAGGCCUACAUGUGGGUGUGAUGUUCAGGUAUGCACAAACUUUUGGCCAUAUAGUGUAUCUUUCGGUAAAAUAAAACAAGAGUAAACAUUCAAGAGCAGCCUUAAAACCGCAACAUGCACAACAGCAACCAAAAAUCAAUACAGAGCCUGAGAGAGAGAGAGAGAGAGAGAGAGAGAGAGAAAGCAUGUGUGUAAUGGGUUACAGCACAGCAUAGCUUACACAGUAGUUAAUGCUAUUUGUAUGUAAAGUACUUUUUACUUUGCUGUACAAAUUUUAAUUUAGUACAUAAAUAGACAUUAUUAUUCAUUCCUCAAUCUUCAGUAACCGCUUUUGUCCUGGGCAGGGUCACAGAGUCUAUCCAGAGAACCCGGAGGAACUACAGAAACCAGAGGAAAGCCAUGCAAACACAGAGAGGACCUGCAAAGAAAUUUCACUCAGACAGCAACGCCAGCUCAGGAUCAAACCAGGGACCCUAGAGCUGUGAGCUCUACACUGCCUGACGUACAACCCUUCCACUCAUCUCUGUGUUCAAAGUUGCCUAAAUCUCUACCUCUCUGCUUGGUCAUACGCAUAUCUCCUGGCCCUGGGUGUUUCAGAGCACACAACACAGACACACAGCAGAAUGAAAUCACAGCCAAUGCUGUAAAGAGGACAACAUUUAUAACAGGCUCUGGGAAUAUCAGUUCCAUGGUUUCAUGCAGGCCAUAUCCAAAGGCUGCCAACCAAGCUGGUACAACUGCUGCAAUCCGGUACUUUAUAUCCUUAUAUCUCAAGAAUGUUACUGGAUGAAGCACUGCCAAGUAUUGUUCAAUACAAAUGCAGGUUUGUAUCAGCGGUCUUCCAGUCCAGCACAGGCCAAAAAUAAAAGUGACUGCAACUAACAAUUUGUCAUUCUUGAAGCAAAACACAUACAGUAUUUCAAGAGCACAUUCCAUGCAGAAGAGAAGCUCCAUUAUUGUGUGAUUCAGAAGGAAAAUUACACUUUGUUUGCUUUUCCAGUCAAAGUGAUGAUAGGACCAGAGACACCACAAAUGGGCUGGUGUUCCCACAAUGAAGCAGAGUAGCAUAACAGAGUAGCACAAUAUAAUUUCAAACAUAUUGUCAUUUAAACAAUCACUUGUACCCAGUGGAGACAAAGCUGAAGUGAAAUUGAUGAACUCUUCAGAUGUGUUUUCCAUCCUGUGUUAUUUCUGUUCUGCAGAGAGAGACAGUAAGGGAAUGUAUGAGGACAUGGAAAAAGCAAAUAUAUCCGCACAGCUAAUGUUUGCAUAUGCAGAGUCAGUGUGAAUAAUGAGACAGGAAAUGGCUCAAAGUCUUUAAAAAUAUGAAUUUUUCAUUUUUUUAAGGCAAACUUCAUAAAAUAUUGCAUAAAAUAAACAUUUCUUUUUGUUAUGCAACAUGAGUUCUUAAACACCACAAUAAUUGAAAGGACUUAACAUGCCCGAAUUCUGCUGCUAAAACAUUUGACUAAAGAAAAAGGAUGAAUCUCUGAGAAGAGGUUUUAAAGUGGAGGAACCUGAGAAUUUUGUGGAUAAAACUGAUUUGUGAAAGAUAUAAUGGCCAACAAAUGCAAAAAUUGCGAUCUAGAAAAUGGAACUAAUCACCCCAAAAACAGGAAGAAGAUUCUGCUACAGACAGACAGAUAUAUGGAUGAUCUUUUUGCACCUUGAUCUGAGUUUGCCUCAGUCCAUCAACAGCAAACUAGACAUACUCGAAUCUAUACAUAAGGAGAUGGAUGAUUUACAAAUAGCCUUGGCACAUCUAAGCCAAAUUUGACACCAUCGGGAACAAGAACGCAGUACACAUGCACAAUACACUG